Long non-coding RNA from Ictalurus punctatus (channel catfish), 617 nucleotides. The record is from Ensembl. Lineage: Eukaryota; Metazoa; Chordata; Actinopteri; Siluriformes; Ictaluridae.
UUUCUCACUGUCAUUAACGCACAUCAGAUCCCACUAUCACGGAGUGAAGAAACUCAGUCUGCAUUAAUGCCUUUUACCCACAGCUAGAGCUUGCUACAGGAAAUCACGUUUAAAGUUGCCCCAUAUGUCUUGGACUUGGCUUCCAGUGGUGUGGAAAUCACACGGGCUGCAAACAGAAAGCAGAUACGAAGAAAGAUGCCUAGGGUUCCUGCUUACCUGCGUGAACAUGACAUAGGCCUGCUGCAGGGAGGCAUGAGGACUGCAGAUGUGUCCAGAGAAAUAUACUGCAAUGUCUGUAAUGUAAGACGCCUAAGACGGUGCUACAGGGAGACAGGAAGGACAGCUGAUCGUCCUUGCAGUGGAAAAUUACAUGUAACCGUGCGUCCCCCCAGACACGAUGCCUUGGUGGAAGGGUGGAGGAACAUCUCACAGCAAGAACUGACCAAUCUGGUGCAGUCCAUGAGGAUGAGAUGCACUGUAGUACUUAAAGCAGCUGGAGUCCACCAGAUACUGACUGUUAAUUUUAAUAUUGACCCCCCCUUUGUUCAGGGACUCAUUAUUCCAUUUCUGUUCGCCAAAUGUCUGUGAAACUUGUUCAGUUUACGUCUCAGUUCUUG